CCUACGGGAGGCAGCAGUGGGGAAUAUUGCGCAAUGGGCGAAAGCCUGACGCAGCGACGCCGCGUGAGGGAUGAAGGUCUUCGGAUCGUAAACCUCUGUCAGCAGGGAAGAACGGUCACUGUGCUAAUCAGCAGUGAAUUGACGGUACCUGCAAAGGAAGCACCGGCUAACUCCGUGCCAGCAGCCGCGGUAAUACGGAGGGUGCGAGCGUUAAUCGGAGUUACUGGGCGUAAAGCGCUCGUAGGCGGUAUGUCAAGUCAAGGGUGAAAGCCCCGCGCUCAACGUGGGAACUGCCUUUGAAACUGGCAAACUGGAGUGUGUGAGAGGAUAGUGGAAUUCCAGGUGUAGGAGUGAAAUCCGUAGAUAUCUGGAGGAACAUCAGUGGCGAAGGCGACUAUCUGGCACAUAACUGACGCUGAGGAGCGAAAGCGUGGGUAGCAAACAGGAUUAGAUACCCGAGUAGUC
Molecule: ribosomal RNA, 465 nt
Filed under: uncultured bacterium
Lineage: Bacteria
Description: partial 16S ribosomal RNA
Rfam family: Bacterial small subunit ribosomal RNA
Source: RNAcentral